This 1309-nucleotide long non-coding RNA is filed under the name Felis catus (domestic cat). Its description in RNAcentral is "lncRNA (ENSFCAG00000043133.2)". Lineage: Eukaryota; Metazoa; Chordata; Mammalia; Carnivora; Felidae. The record is from RNAcentral.
AUGAUUUUGUGUAACCUAACUCCUGGCAUCCACUCACUUGCAUUUCCUGAUGCAGCCACACUGAGGUACCUGAAGCUGUCCCAAGAACAUACUGCAAUCGCUCAGCCCCGUGAAUUCACAUAUGCUGUUCAUUCUGCCUGGGAUACUUCUUCCAUCAGGUGGUGUUCCUCUAUAUUUGAGGCCUACAUCAGAAACUUAAUGUACAACUGGUAUAAAUUGACCAUUUUCAUCACCUUGGUGUUUUAGCAGGUGGUCUGCUCCAUGCUGGUUGCAGACUGAAUGAAAGCAGACAACAUUUUGAAACUAAUUCCUGAAGGUGAUGGAAGACUCCAGAGCCAUUUCAACUGGUGAAAUAGUGUUGUGUUUUGUGCAUUUUUUUUUUGUUUUAAAUUAAAUGCUCUGAGACACUUGACCUUUCUGGCAAAUGAAGGGCAAACACUGCUUUACUCUCAUUUCAUGUCACAAUUAUAAGUCUCUAGAUAUUUAAAAUGGUCUUGAGCAGAUUGUUUUUGGUUCAUAAGCCAUUAUUUCCCUAUUAAAAAGGAAAAAUAACUUCUUUGUCAUUGAAUGGAUUUCUUUAAGUCAAUAAAGCUGAAAAAAAAAGGACUUUAUUUAAUCCAUCCAUGUUUCACUCUGGAGAAGCGUCAAGACAUCUUGGUCCCUUAUUCCUAACUUCUUCAUUUAAACAUCACAUACUUCAUUUAAAAUAUAUGUUCAGGUAUAACAACUUAAAAUGUCCACUUUUAAAUGAUGAGGUAGACAUCUGGAAACUUCCUUUCCUAUUUCAUGAACAUGGGAAAUAAGACAUGGUUCCAUGCAAUCAUUGAUGGGAUUCAGCCCUACUGGUUUUAGAAUCUUUUCUUUCUUUCUUUCUUUUCUUUCUUUCUUUUCUUUGAUGAAGCGUUGUUCUGAGUUAUUAUACAAUUUAUUAAGAAAUCUCUGUUAGUAGCAAUUUGGGUGACAGAGUUUGGCCUAGCUUUGUAUAAUCUGAAGCUCAAAGAUCUACUGUUUUCUUUCCUUCUUCUUCUUUUUCAAUACUUCUUUACCUGGAACAGAACCUUACAGAGAAUAGUCACUUAAUAAAUCCUUUUAUCUUUUCCCUACUUUGAAGUAAAUGGUGUACACUUAAAGGAAAAAGUGGCAUUAAGGAUAAAAGAGAGAGAGGAGGUGAUUACUGAAGUCAAAAUCUGAUGGCAGUGAUUGAAACUAAUAAAGAACAUAGGUUAAAACAGUAAAUGAACAAUAAUACUGAAUAUGAAAUCAAAAGAAAUGAUUUAAGCCCUAUGGAUUCCCAUGAAACAAUACAGUG